UACGUAGGGUGCAAGCGUUGUCCGGAAUUAUUGGGCGUAAAGAGCUCGUAGGCGGUUUGUUGCGUCGGCUGUGAAAUCCCGAGGCUCAACCUCGGGUCUGCAGUCGAUACGAGCAAACUAGAGUGUUGCAGGGGAGACUGGAAUUCCUGGUGUAGCGGUGAAAUGCGCAGAUAUCAGGAGGAACACCGGUGGCGAAGGCGGGUCUCUGGGCAACAACUGACGCUGAGGAGCGAAAGUCAGGGGAGCAAACGGG
RNAcentral lists this ribosomal RNA (253 nucleotides) under uncultured bacterium. Its description in RNAcentral is "partial 16S ribosomal RNA". It matches the Rfam family "Bacterial small subunit ribosomal RNA", at positions 524 to 776 of the family's 1533-position model. The record is from RNAcentral.